GAUAAGUGAGGACAUUGCUCAAAUGGAGUGAUUUGAUUAUCCACUCUUGAGUUCCCCAACCUUAAAAAUAUUCCUUUUCUCACUUUCCUCACUUAAAAAGAUGUUGAUUGUCGUAUGUACAUGAACUUUUAAAAAUGAUCAGUAUUCUCCUUCCUGGUUUUUGUUUAAAAUUCAGCCUUGUAUUGGUGAGAAAAUGAGGAAAUAAUGGUGGCGACCAGACCCGACGAGCCAGUCAAUUAUUGGAAAAUAUUGUGCAUGUAACAAGUCCCUACCAAAGGGGAUGAGAGUUCAUGAACACUUCUCGGGUCGUCCUGAUUGAUUCACGCUACGGAAGAAAAAUGGACCUUAUUUAAAAUUUUGUGGCGUUUACACUACAUUAUUGGAUGGUCUGUCUAGCCUGUGUUUUCGUUUUGUGGUUUGGUUUGGUUUUCUCGUCAAAUUUUGGUAAUAAUGUUGGCCCAGAAUAAUUUCAGAGUAAGUAUAGUUCACCUGGUCUGGAAAAUUUUAAACCAUUUUCCAAUACAAACAAAGAUGCUUAAUACAAAAUAUAUUAUGUUGUGUUGUUUAAGUGCUAACGAGGAAAUGAUGACUUGAUACUUUUUCAGAGAGAACAAUACCUAAAUGGACUUUUGUGGUUAAGUUCGAGUUGGUGGAUGGAUGGAUGGAUGGGGGAAAUGCGUUGUCCCAAAGGACCGACAAGGCCAAGAAUUUAUUCCUCCUUCUCUUCGAACGGCUUAAGAGGAAAGAAUCAUUUUGUCUAAAGCCGUUCGUACAACUAUUCGGUAUCGGACCAUGAAACUGGAAUGGAAGAAAGAAAACAUUGUUCAAGCGGAAGGAGGUAAUCUAAAAUCGCCGACCAAAAUUUGCAAAGUUGUAAAGGCUCCAGCUACUUAUGAGGAUGAUGCCGAUUUUUUUAACCCAAAUCGACUCACCCGGUGACGGUACUCAGGAAAUUUUUUUGAACAUUCGAAAAUUCAUCGAUUUUUUACGGCAUUUUUUUUAGCAAAAAUGUACAAAAUUAUACUAAAAUUCGUUUUGGGAUAACACUUGCAGGCAGGGUAUUAUAUUAUCAAGACGCCGUAUUGCACUAAUUUUACUGGUCUGGUCCUCUAAAGAGAUGAGUAGGAGACCGAUGAUGAUGAUCUAAAAUUUUACCCGGAUUAUGCAGUCCUCAGCACAGCGCUGUAUCCCUUUAGAUUUGUGGUCCAAUUAGAGUAAGAUAAGAUUGUUCAGGAGAAAAAAAUAAUUUAAAAUCGCCGACUUGUAAGUGCAAAGUUCAAAAGGCGCCAGUAACUUUGAGGAUAAUGUUGAUUUUUUUACCCAAAUCGACUCAUCCCAUGUCUGUACUGCGUCACCUACAUUUUAUUAUGCAUAGGGAGGAGAACACCGGCCAAUAGAGUUACAUAGUUAUGAACACUUAUUGUACGCCUUGUUACAUAUGACAAAUACUAAAAUUUGACAGUUUUUAACAGGAGAAAUGCGUAGUUUACGCUGUCCGAUGUUGUACAACGACAAGAAUUUAUUCCUCCUUCACCGCGAGCGUCACAGGGGAAAGCAUGAUUUUGUUUAAAGCCGUUCGUAUAUACAAAUUAGUUACUGUUUUGCUCAUGAAAUCAGACUUCACAACUUGGAGCUGAAUUCGUUACAAAAUCCAGUACUUCUAUUCGGUAUCGGGUCAUGAAACUGGAAUGGAAAUUAGAGCAAGAAAAGAUUGCUCAGGCGGAAGGAAGUAACUUAAGAUCGCCGACUAGAAAGUGCAAAGUUGAAAGGCGCCAGCUACCUAUUAGGAUGAUGCCGAUUUUUUUUAUCCAAAUCGACUCACCCGAUGACGAUUAAUUUUGCAAACAUUCAAUUUUUUACGGCAUUUUUUAUGUAAAAAAUUAAACUAAAAUUUGUUUUGGGAUAACACUUUAGGGUCGCCACCACUGAUAUUAUAAAGACGCCUUAUUGCACAAAUUUUACUGCUCUUGUCCUCGAAAGAGAUGAGUAUGAGACGGACGACGAUGAUCCAAAAUUUUACCUGGAUUAUGCAGUCCCCACCACAGCGCUGUAUCACUUUAGAUUUGUGGUCCAAUUAAGAGCAGGAUAAGAUUGCUCAGGCGUAAGCAAAUAAUUUAAAAUCGCCGACCAGUAAGUGCAAAGUUGAAAAGACGCCAGCUACUUAUGAAGAUGAUGCUGAUUUUUUUUACCAAAAUCGACUCACCCGAUGAAGGUACUGCGUCAUUUCUUGCAUUUUCUUAUUGUCCAAAGGGGGAGAACACCGGCCGGCCGGAGCCAGAUGAACGUUUUCAGGACAAUGUUUCGAUUGUUCGUACGAACAUUACGGAUAGAACCCGCUUUCGAAGACACUUUUAAGAAAAUGGAGACAGGUUCACCACCCCCACCGAAAAUUACCAAAGACACUGAUAUUAUCAAGACGCCGUAUUGCAGUAAUUUUACUGGUCUGGUCCCUGAAGAAGAUGAGCAUGAGACCGAUGAUGAUGAUCCCAAAUUUUACCCGGAUUAUGCAGUCCCCAGCACAAUCCCUUUAGAUUUGUGGUCCAACAGGAUAAGAUUGCCCAGGAGAAAAAAACAAUAAUUUGAAAUCGCCGACCAGUAAGUGCAAAGUUGAAGGCGCCAGCUACUUAUGAAGAUGAUGCUGAUUUUUUUACCCAAACUCACCCGAUGAAGAUACUGCGUUACCUGCAUUUUAUUCCGGUAAGAACACCGGCCGGCCGGACCCCGAUGGACGCUUUCAGGACAAUUUUUCGAAUGUCUCUGCGAAAAUUACUGGAUAUGUAUGUAUAUUCGAAAAUUUCUCGCAAAUUUGGGGAAUUUUUUUGUAAAAAAGUACACAAAAUCGAAGUAGACCCCGUUUUCGGGGGGGGAGAACACUUGGAAAAUCCAGGUAGGGUGACCACCCCCACCGAAAAUUACCAAAGACACUGAUAUUAUCAAGACGCCGCCUUGUACUAAUUUUACUGGUAAAUUUUAUCCUCUACCCUGAAGAAGAUGAGUCUGAGACCGACGAUGAUGAUGUAAAAUUUUACCCGGAUCAUACAGUCCCCAGUAUCCCUAUAGCUCUGUGGCCCUUCUGUCCGUCUAUCCGUUCAAAGCACGAUGGUCUUCGGUCUGCUGAAGCUCUGGAACAUGAUGGUGCAAUGGGUUUGACAUCGGUGACAAUAUUUUUGGGACCUUGUGACGCUGUCACUGUAACAAUAGUUAUUUGUUAUGAAGUAAACUUACUUUAUACACAUAAAAAAGUGCGAAAGUUAGUUUGAUAAAAAUAGAGGAUCAAUUCAUACCAAAUUUUCUCGAUAUACUGUUGUCAAUGGGGGAGCAAAGUCUUCAUCACCUGAGUGAAUAUGCAUAAAUGAGACGCUGACGUGGUCACUCUCUGCUUCUCCGACGCAGUUCUACUAUAUAAUCGUAUGUAUGUAAUAUAAUAAUAAAAUCAUGAAAUUGUCUGGAAA
Molecule: long non-coding RNA, 3452 nt
Organism: Folsomia candida
Lineage: Eukaryota; Metazoa; Arthropoda; Collembola; Entomobryomorpha; Isotomidae
Exons: 8
Source: RefSeq, a predicted model, not a curated record